UGAGUAACACGUAUCCAGCCUGCCGUCUACUCUUGGACAGCCUUCUGAAAGGAAGAUUAAUACAAGAUGGCAUCAUGAGUCCGCAUGUUCACAUGAUUAAAGGUAUUCCGGUAGACGAUGGGGAUGCGUUCCAUUAGAUAGUAGGCGGGGUAACGGGCCCACCUAGUCUUCGAUGGAUAGGGGUUCUGAGAGGAAGGUCCCCCACAUUGGAACUGAGACACGGUCCAAACUCCUACGGGAGGCAGCAUG
Molecule: ribosomal RNA, 249 nt
Filed under: uncultured bacterium
Lineage: Bacteria
Description: partial 16S ribosomal RNA
Rfam family: Bacterial small subunit ribosomal RNA
Source: RNAcentral